GACGAAGGUGGCGAGCGUUGUUCGGAAUCACUGGGCAUAAAGCGCACGUAGGCGGUGCCGUAAGUCGGAUGUGAAGUCCCUCGGCCUAACCGAGGAACUGCGUCCGAUACUGCGGUGCUUGAGGAUCAGAGGGGUGCAUGGAAUUUCCGGUGGAGCGGUGAAAUGCGUUGAUAUCGGAAGGAACUCCGGCGGCGAAAGCGAUGCACUGGCUGAUUUCUGACGCUGAGGUGCGAAAGCCAGGGGAGCAAACGGG
Molecule: ribosomal RNA, 253 nt
Filed under: uncultured bacterium
Lineage: Bacteria
Description: partial 16S ribosomal RNA
Rfam family: Bacterial small subunit ribosomal RNA
Source: RNAcentral